RNAcentral lists this ribosomal RNA (467 nucleotides) under uncultured bacterium. Its description in RNAcentral is "partial 16S ribosomal RNA". It matches the Rfam family "Bacterial small subunit ribosomal RNA", at positions 28 to 507 of the family's 1533-position model. The record is from RNAcentral.
GACGAACGCUGGCGGCGUGCUUAACACAUGCAAGUCGAACGGAAAGGCUCCAGCUUGCUGGAGUACUCGAGUGGCGAACGGGUGAGUAACACGUGGGUAAUCUGCCCUGCACUCUGGGAUAAGCCUGGGAAACUGGGUCUAAUACUGGAUAUGACCUUUCUCCUUAUGGGGUUUGGUGGAAAGUGUUUCGGUGUAGGAUGAGCCCGCGGCCUAUCAGCUUGUUGGUGGGGUGAUGGCCUACCAAGGCGACGACGGGUAGCCGGCCUGAGAGGGUGGUCGGCCACAUUGGGACUGAGAUACGGCCCAGACUCCUACGGGAGGCAGCAGUGGGGAAUAUUGCACAAUGGGCGGAAGCCUGAUGCAGCGACGCCGCGUGAGGGAUGACGGCCUUCGGGUUGUAAACCUCUUUCAGCAGGGACGAAGCGUAAGUGACGGUACCUGCAGAAGAAGCACCGGCUAACUAUGUG